GAUGAACGCUGGCGGCGUGCCUAAUACAUGCAAGUCGAGCGAACAGACGAGGAGCUUGCUCCUCUGACGUUAGCGGCGGACGGGUGAGUAACACGUGGAUAACCUACCUAUAAGACUGGGAUAACUUCGGGAAACCGGAGCUAAUACCGGAUAAUAUAUUGAACCGCAUGGUUCAAUAGUGAAAGACGGUUUUGCUGUCACUUAUAGAUGGAUCCGCGCCGCAUUAUCUAGUUGGUAAGGUAACGGCUUACCAAGGCAACGGUGCGUAGCCGACCUGAGCGGGGGAUCGCACACAGUGGAAGUGAGACACGGUCCAGACUCCUACGGGCGGCAGCAGGAGGGAAUCUUACGCAAUGGGCGAAAGCCUGACGGAGCAACGCCGCGGGAGUGAUGAAGGUCUUCGGAUCGUAAAACUCUGUUAGUAGGGAAGAAAAAAUGUGUAAGUAACUAUGGACGUCUUGACGGUACCGAAUCAGAAAGCCACGGCUAACUACGUG
RNAcentral lists this ribosomal RNA (497 nucleotides) under uncultured bacterium. RNAcentral describes it as "partial 16S ribosomal RNA". It matches the Rfam family "Bacterial small subunit ribosomal RNA", at positions 28 to 507 of the family's 1533-position model. The record is from RNAcentral.